CCUUUGUUCCUGAGUUAUAUGCAUUUGUGUAAUAGUAACAUCUGCCGCAGUGGUGGGACUGCUCCACCCUUAGUCAGAGUUCUCGUUGGGAGCGAAUCCAUGAAUGGGCCUGCCAGAAGUGUAUGAUUUGGAUUUAGUCGGGCCUGGGCGGGGAGAAGAAAAACAUCAACCGGUUCUUGAAGGUGAAAUCCUGUACUCCUGGAAGUGUUUGGUGUUUGUUUCUUGACUCUCUUUAUUUUUGUUUUGUUUUGGUGUAUAUAAAGUGGUAUUAUCUGUGGUUUAUUUGUUACAGUUAGC
RNAcentral lists this unclassified non-coding RNA (297 nucleotides) under Hevea brasiliensis (rubber tree). The record is from RNAcentral. Lineage: Eukaryota; Viridiplantae; Streptophyta; Magnoliopsida; Malpighiales; Euphorbiaceae.